GUCUACGGCCAUGCUACCCUGAACAAGCCCGAUCCUGUCUGAUCUUGGAAGCUAAGCAGGGUUGGGCCUGGUUAGUACUUGGAUGGGAGACCACCUAUGAAGACCAGAUGCUGUAGGCA
Non-coding RNA from Pteropus alecto (black flying fox), 119 nucleotides. Lineage: Eukaryota; Metazoa; Chordata; Mammalia; Chiroptera; Pteropodidae. The record is from Rfam.